AAGGAGCAUCUAGGCCGCCAAGCUUGCUUGGUGGUCCAGGACCAGUACAUCGGCGAAUGUCUGAUGCUGGUUGCUCAUGGGUGGAACGUUGAUUAUUCGGCACUCUUGGUCGUCUUCUCCUUCCAGUACUGUCCUUCGGGGCGUGGAACGUUGAGGGAAGCGGCGAAGGGUGUCGGGCACGCUGUUGGGUGUCUGAGGGUACGGCCGAUUGUUGGUCGCCUUCAGUGCCGGCCCCGGUGAAAAUCUGCUUCGGCGGGUUGUGACGGGUGGUUGGUCGUUG
Molecule: unclassified non-coding RNA, 280 nt
Filed under: Streptomyces sp. DSM 41745
Lineage: Bacteria; Bacillati; Actinomycetota; Actinomycetes; Kitasatosporales; Streptomycetaceae
Description: partial 16S-23S ribosomal RNA intergenic spacer
Source: RNAcentral